AGAAUCAACGCUGGCGGCGUGCCUAACACAUGCAAGUCGAUCGAGAAAGUGGAGCAAUCCAUGAGUAAAGAGGCGCACGGGUGAGUAACACGUGACUAACCUACCUUCGAGUGGGGAAUAACCUGGGAAACCCGGGCUAAUACCGCAUAAUACCUACGGGUCAAAGGAGCAAUUCGCUUGAAGAGGGGGUCGCGGCAGAUUAGUUAGUUGGCGGGGUAAUGGCCCACCAAGACGAUGAUCUGUA
This 244-nucleotide ribosomal RNA is filed under the name uncultured bacterium. RNAcentral's name for it is "partial small subunit ribosomal RNA". It matches the Rfam family "Bacterial small subunit ribosomal RNA", at positions 26 to 285 of the family's 1533-position model. The record is from RNAcentral.